Molecule: ribosomal RNA, 253 nt
Filed under: uncultured bacterium
Lineage: Bacteria
Description: partial 16S ribosomal RNA
Rfam family: Bacterial small subunit ribosomal RNA
Source: RNAcentral
UACGGGGGGUGCGAGCGUUGUCCGGAAUCACUGGGCGUAAAGGGCGCGUAGGUGGUUUGAUAAGGGUGUGGUGAAAGUCCGGGGCUCAACCCCGGGUCGGCCGUGCGAACUGUCGAGCUGGAGCACUGUAGAGGCAGGUGGAAUUCCGGGUGUAGCGGUGGAAUGCGUAGAGAUCCGGAAGAACACCGGUGGCGAAGGCGGCCUGCUGGGCAGUGGCUGACGCUGAGGCGCGACAGCGUGGGGAGCAAACAGG